Molecule: ribosomal RNA, 468 nt
Filed under: uncultured bacterium
Lineage: Bacteria
Description: partial 16S ribosomal RNA
Rfam family: Bacterial small subunit ribosomal RNA
Source: RNAcentral
GACGAACGCUGGCGGCGUGCUUAACACAUGCAAGUCGAACGGAAAGGCCCUGCUUUUGUGGGGUGCUCGAGUGGCGAACGGGUGAGUAACACGUGAGUAACCUGCCCUUGACUUUGGGAUAACUUCAGGAAACUGGGGCUAAUACCGGAUAGGAGCUCCUGCUGCAUGGUGGGGGUUGGAAAGUUUCGGCGGUUGGGGAUGGACUCGCGGGUUAUCAGCUUGUUGGUGGGGUAGUGGCUUACCAAGGCUUUGACGGGUAGGCGGCCUGAGAGGGUGACCGGCCACAUUGGGACUGAGAUACGGCCCAGACUCCUACGGGAGGCAGCAGUGGGGAAUAUUGCACAAUGGGCGGAAGCCUGAUGCAGCAACGCCGCGUGCGGGAUGACGGCCUUCGGGUUGUAAACCGCUUUCGCCUGUGACGAAGCGUGAGUGACGGUAAUGGGUAAAGAAGCACCGGCUAACUACGUG